This 468-nucleotide ribosomal RNA is filed under the name uncultured bacterium. Its description in RNAcentral is "partial 16S ribosomal RNA". It matches the Rfam family "Bacterial small subunit ribosomal RNA", at positions 28 to 507 of the family's 1533-position model. The record is from RNAcentral.
GACGAACGCUGGCGGCGUGCUUAACACAUGCAAGUCGAACGGAAAGGCCCUGCUUUUGUGGGGUGCUCGAGUGGCGAACGGGUGAGUAACACGUGAGUAACCUGCCCUUGACUUUGGGAUAACUUCAGGAAACUGGGGCUAAUACCGGAUAGGAGCUCCUGCUGCAUGGUGGGGGUUGGAAAGUUUCGGCGGUUGGGGAUGGACUCGCGGCUUAUCAGCUUGUUGGUGGGGUAGUGGCUUACCAAGGCUUUGACGGGUAGCCGGCCUGCGAGGGUGACCGGCCACAUUGGGACUGAGAUCCGGCACAGACUCCUACGGGAGGCAGCAGUGGGGAAUAUUGCACAAUGGGCGGAAGCCUGAUGCAGCAACGCCGCGUGCGGGAUGACGGCCUUCGGGUUGUAAACCGCUUUCGCCUGUGACGAAGCGUGAGUGACGGUAAUGGGUAAAGAAGCACCGGCUAACUACGUG